UACGUAGGUGGCAAGCGUUGUCCGGAAUUAUUGGGCGUAAAGCGCGCGCAGGCGGUCCUUUAAGUCUGAUGUGAAAGCCCACGGCUCAACCGUGGAGGGUCAUUGGAAACUGGGGGACUUGAGUGCAGGAGAGAAGAGUGGAAUUCCCGGUGUAGCGGUGAAAUGCGCAGAUAUCGGGAGGAACACCAAUGGCGAAGGCAGCUCGCUGGGACGGUACUGACGCUGAGGCGCGAAAGCGUGGGGAGCAAACAGG
This 253-nucleotide ribosomal RNA is filed under the name uncultured bacterium. RNAcentral's name for it is "partial 16S ribosomal RNA". It matches the Rfam family "Bacterial small subunit ribosomal RNA", at positions 524 to 776 of the family's 1533-position model. The record is from RNAcentral.